RNAcentral lists this transfer RNA (72 nucleotides) under compost metagenome. RNAcentral describes it as "tRNA-Ile". The record is from RNAcentral.
UGGGCAUGGCCCGUGGCGACAGCCUGGCCUUGAUGGGGCUGGAGGCGUCGUUCCAUUUUGGCGAUGCCUUGC